Molecule: ribosomal RNA, 253 nt
Filed under: uncultured bacterium
Lineage: Bacteria
Description: partial 16S ribosomal RNA
Rfam family: Bacterial small subunit ribosomal RNA
Source: RNAcentral
AACGUAGGUGGCAAGCGUUAUCCGGAUUUACUGGGCGUAAAGCGUGUGCAGGCGGGGGUACAAGUGGUGUAUGAAAUUUCCCAGCUUAACUGGGAAGGGUUAUGCCAGACUGUACUUCUGGAGUGCGAGAGAGGGGCGUGGAAUUCCGGGUGUAGUGGUGAAAUGCGUAGAGAUCCGGAGGAACCCCAGAGGCGAAGGCGGCGCCCUGGCUCGCAACUGACGCUCAUGCACGAAAGCGUGGGGAGCAAACAGG